CUAGCAUAUCAAUAAGCGGAGGAAAAGAAACCAACAGGGAUUGCCCUAGUAACGGCGAGUGAAGCGGCAACAGCUCAAAUUUGAAAUCUGGCCCUAGCGGUCCGAGUUGUAAUUUGUAGAGGAUGCUUUUGGUGAGGUGCCUUCUGAGUUCCCUGGAACGGGACGCCAGAGAGGGUGAGAGCCCCGUACGGUCGGCCGCCAAACCUGUAUAUAGCUCCUUCGACGAGUCGAGUAGUUUGGGAAUGCUGCUCUAAAUGGGAGGUAAAUUUCUUCUAAAGCUAAAUACCGGCCAGAGACCGAUAGCGCACAAGUAGAGUGAUCGAAAGAUGAAAAGCACUUUGAAAAGAGGGUUAAAUAGCACGUGAAAUUGUUGAAAGGGAAGCGUUUGCGACCAGACUUUUUCCUGGCGGAUCAUCCGGUGCUCUCACCGGUGCACUUCGCCAGGUCUAGGCCAGCAUCGGUUUCCUUAGGGGGAUAAAGGCCUGGGGAACGUAGCUCUUUAGGGAGUGUUAUAGCCCCUGGCGCAAUGCCCUUCGGGGGACCGAGGAUCGCGCUCUGCAAGGAUGCUGGCGUAAUGGUCGUCAACGACCCGUCUUGAAACACGGACCAAGGAGUCGAACAUUUGUGCGAGUGUUUGGGUGUUAAACCCUCACGCGUAAUGAAAGUGAACGGAGGUGAGAGCCCUAGGGUGCAUCAUCGACCGAUCCUGAUGUCUUCGGAUGGAUUUGAGUAAGAGCAUAACUGUUCGGACCCGAAAGAUGGUGAACUAUGCGUGGAUAGGGUGAAGCCAGAGGAAACUCUGGUGGAGGCUCGCAGCGGUUCUGACGUGCAAAUCGAUCGUCAAAUCUGCGCAUGGGGGCGAAAGACUUAUCGAACCAUCCUGGG
This 885-nucleotide ribosomal RNA is filed under the name Hypoxylon larissae. Its description in RNAcentral is "partial large subunit ribosomal RNA". It matches the Rfam family "Eukaryotic large subunit ribosomal RNA", at positions 34 to 955 of the family's 3401-position model. The record is from RNAcentral. Lineage: Eukaryota; Fungi; Ascomycota; Sordariomycetes; Xylariales; Hypoxylaceae.